GAUGAACGCUGGCGGCGUGCCUAAUACAUGCAAGUCGAGCGAACAGACGAGGAGCUUGCUCCUCUGACGUUAGCGGCGGACGGGUGAUUAACACGUGGAUAACCUACCUAUAAGACUGGGAUAACUUCGGGAAACCGGAGCUAAUACCGGAUAAUAUAUUGAACCGCAUGGUUCAAUAGUGAAAGACGGUUUUGCUGUCACUUAUAGAUGGAUCCGCGCCGCAUUAGCUAGUUGGUAAGGUAACGGCUUACCAAGGCAACGAUGCGUAGCCGACCUGAGAGGGUGAUCGGCCACACUGGAACUGAGACACGGUCCAGACUCCUACGGGAGGCAGCAGUAGGGAAUCUUCCGCAAUGGGCGAAAGCCUGACGGAGCAACGCCGCGUGAGUGAUGAAGGUCUUCGGAUCGUAAAACUCUGUUAUUAGGGAAGAACAAAUGUGUAAGUAACUAUGCACGUCUUGACGGUACCUAAUCAGAAAGCCACGGCUAACUACGUG
RNAcentral lists this ribosomal RNA (497 nucleotides) under uncultured bacterium. RNAcentral describes it as "partial 16S ribosomal RNA". It matches the Rfam family "Bacterial small subunit ribosomal RNA", at positions 28 to 507 of the family's 1533-position model. The record is from RNAcentral.